GUUCCUGUAGUUGAAAUAUUAAUCAACGGUGGCUUUUCAAGCCACAGGUCUUGGGGAGGAGCCAAGUAGGAAUU
This 74-nucleotide transfer RNA is filed under the name Ardea modesta (Eastern great egret). Its description in RNAcentral is "tRNA-Glu". The record is from RNAcentral. Lineage: Eukaryota; Metazoa; Chordata; Aves; Pelecaniformes; Ardeidae.